Molecule: ribosomal RNA, 407 nt
Filed under: uncultured bacterium
Lineage: Bacteria
Description: partial 16S ribosomal RNA
Rfam family: Bacterial small subunit ribosomal RNA
Source: RNAcentral
UGGGGAAUAUUGCACAAUGGGCGAAAGCCUGAUGCAGCGACGCCGCGUGCGGGAUGAAGGCCUUCGGGUUGUAAACCGCUUUUGAUUGGGAGCAAGCGAGAGUGAGUGUACCUUUCGAAUAAGCACCGGCUAACUACGUGCCAGCAGCCGCGGUAAUACGUAGGGUGCAAGCGUUAUCCGGAAUUAUUGGGCGUAAAGAGCUCGUAGGCGGUUUGUCGCGUCUGGUGUGAAAGUCCAUCGCUUAACGGUGGAUCUGCGCCGGGUACGGGCAGGCUAGAGUGCGACAGGAGAGACUGGAAUUCCCGGUGUAACGGUGGAAUGUGUAGAUAUCGGGAAGAACACCAAUGGCGAAGGCAGGUCUCUGGGUCGUCACUGACGCUGAGGAGCGAAAAGCGUGGGGAGCGAAC